CCGCCCGUCGCUCCUACCGAUUGA
Molecule: non-coding RNA, 24 nt
Filed under: Arabidopsis thaliana (thale cress)
Lineage: Eukaryota; Viridiplantae; Streptophyta; Magnoliopsida; Brassicales; Brassicaceae
Also listed under: 1 other name
Source: RNAcentral